AACGAACGCUGGCGGCAUGCCUAACACAUGCAAGUCGAACGAGACCUUCGGGUCUAGUGGCGCACGGGUGCGUAACGCGUGGGAACCUGCCUUUAGGUUCGGAAUAACUCAGAGAAAUCUGAGCUAAUACCGGAUGAUGUCUUCGGACCAAAGAUUUAUCGCCUUUAGAUGGGCCCGCGUUGGAUUAGCUAGUUGGUGGGGUAAAGGCCUACCAAGGCGACGAUCCAUAGCUGGUCUGAGAGGAUGAUCAGCCACACUGGGACUGAGACACGGCCCAGACUACUACGGGAGGCAGCAGUGGGGAAUAUUGGAAAAUGGGCGAAAGCAUGAUACAGCAAUGCCGCGUGAGUGAUGAAGGCCUUAGGGUUGUAAAGCUCUUUUACCCGAGAUGAUAAUGACAGUAUCGGGAGAAUAAGCUCCGGCUAACUCCGUG
Molecule: ribosomal RNA, 433 nt
Filed under: uncultured bacterium
Lineage: Bacteria
Description: partial 16S ribosomal RNA
Rfam family: Bacterial small subunit ribosomal RNA
Source: RNAcentral